RNAcentral lists this ribosomal RNA (253 nucleotides) under uncultured bacterium. Its description in RNAcentral is "partial 16S ribosomal RNA". It matches the Rfam family "Bacterial small subunit ribosomal RNA", at positions 524 to 776 of the family's 1533-position model. The record is from RNAcentral.
GACAGAGGGUGCGAACGUUGCUCGGAAUUAUUGGGCGUAAAGGGCGUGUAGGCGGCUUCGUAAGUCUUGUGUGAAAGCCCUCGGCUCAACCGAGGAAUUGCACGAGAAACUGCGUGGCUCGAGUCCGGGAGAGGAUAGUGGAAUUCCCAGUGUAGCGGUGAAAUGCGUAGAUAUUGGGAGGAACACCGGUGGCGAAGGCGGCUAUCUGGACCGGUACUGACGCUGAUACGCGAAAGCCAGGGGAGCAAACGGG